UGCAUCAUCUCUUUGAGAAAAUAUGACCAAACUACUCUUGUGGGACAAGAGGAUAAGGACCAAUGAGAUAUUUAUCCUAGUAUAUAUUUGAUGUGUGUAGCCCAUUUGAUGUGCUAACAAAGAGAGUUAUCUCUACUUCGUUAUCUUUAUCGAUGAUCAGUCAUGGUAUAGGUAAGUAUAUGAGAUACAAAUCUAAAAUUUUUGAAAAGUUCAAAGAAUUUAGAUAUAAAAUAGAGAAGUAAAUCAAAAAAUUUCUAAAGGUACUUCGAUC
RNAcentral lists this long non-coding RNA (271 nucleotides) under Elaeis guineensis (African oil palm). RNAcentral's name for it is "long non-coding RNA (EGUI_LNC064631)". Lineage: Eukaryota; Viridiplantae; Streptophyta; Magnoliopsida; Arecales; Arecaceae. The record is from RNAcentral.